UGGGGAAUAUUGGACAAUGGGCGAAAGCCUGAUCCAGCCAUGCCGCGUGUGUGAAGAAGGUCUUCGGAUUGUAAAGCACUUUAAGUUGGGAGGAAGGGCAGUAAGCGAAUACCUUGCUGUUUUGACGUUACCGACAGAAUAAGCACCGGCUAACUCUGUGCCAGCAGCCGCGGUAAUACAGAGGGUGCGAGCGUUAAUCGGAUUUACUGGGCGUAAAGCGUGCGUAGGCGGCUAAUUGAGUCGGAUGUGAAAUCCCCGAGCUUAACUUGGGAAUUGCAUUCGAUACUGGUUAGCUAGAGUGUGGGAGAGGAUGGUAGAAUUCCAGGUGUAGCGGUGAAAUGCGUAGAGAUCUGGAGGAAUACCGAUGGCGAAGGCGACCACCUGGGCUCAUACUGACACUGAGGUGCGAAAGCGUGGGGAGCAAACAGG
RNAcentral lists this ribosomal RNA (429 nucleotides) under Pseudomonadota bacterium. Its description in RNAcentral is "Proteobacteria bacterium partial 16S ribosomal RNA". It matches the Rfam family "Bacterial small subunit ribosomal RNA", at positions 355 to 776 of the family's 1533-position model. Lineage: Bacteria; Pseudomonadati; Pseudomonadota. The record is from RNAcentral.